RNAcentral lists this ribosomal RNA (497 nucleotides) under uncultured bacterium. RNAcentral describes it as "partial 16S ribosomal RNA". It matches the Rfam family "Bacterial small subunit ribosomal RNA", at positions 28 to 507 of the family's 1533-position model. The record is from RNAcentral.
GAUGAACGCUGGCGGCGUGCCUAAUACAUGCAAGUCGAGCGAACAGACGAUGAGCUUGCUCCUCUGACGUUAGCGGCGGACGGGCGAGUAACGCGUGGAUAACCUACUUAUAUUUCGGGGAUAAUAUCGGGAAACCGGAUACAAUACCAGAGAAUAUAUUGAACCGCAUGGUUCAAUAGUGAAUGACGGCUUUGCUGUCACUUAUAGCUGGAUCCGCGCCGGAUUAGCUAGUUGGUAAGGUAACGGCUUACCAAGGCGACGAUGCGUGGCCGACCUGAGAGGGUGAUCGGCCACACUGGAACUGAGACACGGUCCAGACUCCUACGGGAGGCAGCAGUAGGGAAUCUUCGGCAAUGGGCGAAAGCCUGACGGAGCAACGCCGCGUGAGUGAUGAAGGUCUUCGGGUCGUAAAACUCUGUUAUUAGGGAAGAACAACUGUGUAAGUAAAUAUGGCCGUAUUGACGGUACCUAAUCAGAAAGCAACGGCUAACUACGUG